This 866-nucleotide ribosomal RNA is filed under the name Hyalinobatrachium orientale (eastern glass frog). RNAcentral describes it as "partial 16S ribosomal RNA". It matches the Rfam family "Bacterial large subunit ribosomal RNA", at positions 1399 to 2578 of the family's 2925-position model. Lineage: Eukaryota; Metazoa; Chordata; Amphibia; Anura; Centrolenidae. The record is from RNAcentral.
AAGCGUCAAAGCUUAAUUGAGCUAACAAUUAAUUCCAACCCCACUAAAGAACCCUUAAACAGUACUGAGUAAUUCUAUACCAAUAUAGAAGAUUUUAUGUUAAAACUAGUAACAAGAAGAAGAACUUCUCCUACAAUGCAAAUGUAAAUCAGACAGGACACUCCGCUGAUAAUUAACACCAAUGAACAUAAAGUAGUAACAUAACAAGAAAACCCUACUAUACUGUAUGUUAACCUAACACUAGAGCAUUUCAAGAAAGAUUAAAAGAAAAAGAAGGAACUCGGCAAAUAUUAACCUCGCCUGUUUACCAAAAACAUCGCCUCUUGAAUAAAUAUAAGAGGUCCAGCCUGCCCAGUGACCAUGUUCAACGGCCGCGGUAUCCUAACCGUGCGAAGGUAGCGUAAUCACUUGUUCUUUAAAUAAGGACUAGUAUGAACGGCACCACGAAGGUUAUACUGUCUCCUCUUUCUAAUCAGUGAAACUAAUCCCCCCGUGAAGAAGCGGGGAUAAGAAUAUAAGACGAGAAGACCCUAUGGAGCUUUAAACUAUAAAGCACCUGCCACCACAUAACCAAAUUUCAGAAGACUACCAUCACUCAGGCAGGGUGACCCCUAGUUUUAGGUUGGGGUGACCGCGGAGCAAAAAACAACCUCCACAUUGAAAGGAGUCCCACUCCUUAGCCAAGAGCCACACCUCUACGCACCAACAAAAAGACAUUAAUUGACCCAAUAUUUUGAUCAACGAACCAAGUUACCCUAGGGAUAACAGCGCAAUCCACUUCAAGAGCCCCUAUCGACAAGUGGGUUUACGACCUCGAUGUUGGAUCAGGGUAUCCCGGUGGUGCAGCCGCUACCAAAGGUUCGUUU